AUGACAACAGCAAACCAAGAUGAUGUCAACUGUGCUCUGCAGGAAAGGACAGGAAGACAAACCAUCUGUACCAUCAGUAUGAGGAAACUGAGACCACUGAAAUCACUCACCCCAAGUCAUUCACGAGCAAGUGGUGGAACCAGAUUUGAAUCUAACGCCUGUGCCCCUGCUCAGCACAGGCUGUCCAUUGCUGCAUAACGCCUCAAGAAAAGUAGGCUACUGACAGAAUUGUAAUUGACAUUACCUAGCCUGGAACCACUACUUACAGAUGUGCCCUUGGACCCAAAGAAAAAUAAAGUCCCUUGUUCCCAAA
Long non-coding RNA from Chinchilla lanigera (long-tailed chinchilla), 313 nucleotides. RefSeq lists it as uncharacterized. The transcript has 2 exons. NCBI's taxonomy places the organism in Eukaryota, Metazoa, Chordata, Mammalia, Rodentia, Chinchillidae. The record is from RefSeq and is a predicted model, not a curated record.